CCUACGGGAGGCAGCAGUGAGGAAUAUUGGUCAAUGGACGAGAGUCUGAACCAGCCAAGUAGCGUGAAGGAUGACUGCCCUAUGGGUUGUAAACUUCUUUUAUAAAGGAAUAAAACGAGGCACGUGUGCCUUUUUGCAAGUACUUUAUGAAUAAGGAUCGGCUAACUCCGUGCCAGCAGCCGCGGUAAUACGGAGGAUCCGAGCGUUAUCCGGAUUUAUUGGGUUUAAAGGGCGCGUAGAUGGGUUGUUAAGUCAGUUGUGAAAGUUUGCGGCUCAACCGUAAAAUUGCAAUUGAUACUGGCAGUCUAGAGUACAGUAGAGGUAAGCGGAAUUCGUGGUGUAGCGGUGAAAUGCUUAGAUAUCGCGAAGAACCCCGAUGGCGAAGGCAGCUUACUAAACUGUGACUGACAUUGAUGCUCGAAAGUGUGGGUAUCAAACGGGAUUAGAUACCCGGGUAGUC
This 460-nucleotide ribosomal RNA is filed under the name uncultured bacterium. RNAcentral describes it as "partial 16S ribosomal RNA". It matches the Rfam family "Bacterial small subunit ribosomal RNA", at positions 338 to 795 of the family's 1533-position model. The record is from RNAcentral.